AACGAACGCUGGCGGCAGGCUUAACACAUGCAAGUCGAACGCCCCGCAAGGGGAGUGGCAGACGGGUGAGUAACGCGUGGGAAUCUACCCAUCUCUGCGGAAUAGCUCUGGGAAACUGGAAUUAAUACCGCAUACGCCCUACGGGGGAAAGAUUUAUCGGGGAUGGAUGAGCCCGCGUUGGAUUAGCUAGUUGGUGGGGUAAAGGCCUACCAAGGCGACGAUCCAUAGCUGGUCUGAGAGGAUGAUCAGCCACAUUGGGACUGAGACACGGCCCAAACUCCUACGGGAGGCAGCAGUGGGGAAUAUUGGACAAUGGGCGCAAGCCUGAUCCAGCCAUGCCGCGUGAGUGAUGAAGGCCUUAGGGUUGUAAAGCUCUUUCACCGAUGAAGAUAAUGACGGUAGUCGGAGAAGAAGCCCCGGCUAACUUCGUGCCAGCCGCCGCCGUAA
RNAcentral lists this ribosomal RNA (447 nucleotides) under uncultured bacterium. RNAcentral describes it as "partial 16S ribosomal RNA". It matches the Rfam family "Bacterial small subunit ribosomal RNA", at positions 29 to 523 of the family's 1533-position model. The record is from RNAcentral.